This 1546-nucleotide ribosomal RNA is filed under the name Enterococcus faecium. Its description in RNAcentral is "partial 23S ribosomal RNA". It matches the Rfam family "Bacterial large subunit ribosomal RNA", at positions 12 to 1557 of the family's 2925-position model. The record is from RNAcentral. Lineage: Bacteria; Bacillati; Bacillota; Bacilli; Lactobacillales; Enterococcaceae.
AUAAGGGCGCACGGUGGAUGCCUUGGCACUAGGAGCCGAUGAAGGACGGGACUAACACCGAUAUGCUUUGGGGAGCUGUACGUAAGCUAUGAUCCAGAGAUUUCCGAAUGGGGGAACCCAACAUCUUUAAUAGGAUGUUACGAUUGUGUGAAUACAUAGCACAUUCGAGGUAGACGCAGAGAACUGAAACAUCUAAGUACCUGCAGGAAGAGAAAGAAAAUUCGAUUCCCUGAGUAGCGGCGAGCGAAACGGGAAAAGCCCAAACCAGCAAGCUUGCUUGUUGGGGUUGUAGGACUCCAAUAUGGUAGUUCUUUCAGAUAGUCGAAUGACUUGGAAAAGUCAGUCAAAGAGGGUAAAAACCCCGUAGACGAAAUGUGGAAGACACCUAGGAGGAUCCUGAGUACGGCGGAACACGAGAAAUUCCGUCGGAAUCCGGGAGGACCAUCUCCCAAGGCUAAAUACUCCCUAGUGACCGAUAGUGAACCAGUACCGUGAGGGAAAGGUGAAAAGCACCCCGGAAGGGGAGUGAAAUAGAACCUGAAACCGUGUGCCUACAACAAGUCAAAGCCCGUUAAUGGGUGAUGGCGUGCCUUUUGUAGAAUGAACCGGCGAGUUACGAUUGCAUGCGAGGUUAAGUUGAAGAGACGGAGCCGCAGCGAAAGCGAGUCUGAAUAGGGCGUUUGAGUAUGUAGUCGUAGACCCGAAACCAUGUGAUCUACCCAUGUCCAGGUUGAAGGUGCGGUAAAACGCACUGGAGGACCGAACCCACGUACGUUGAAAAGUGCGGGGAUGAGGUGUGGGUAGCGGAGAAAUUCCAAACGAACUUGGAGAUAGCUGGUUCUCUCCGAAAUAGCUUUAGGGCUAGCCUCGGAAUUGAGAAUGAUGGAGGUAGAGCACUGUUUGGACUAGGGGCCCAUCUCGGGUUACCGAAUUCAGAUAAACUCCGAAUGCCAUUCAUUCAUAUCCGGGAGUCAGACUGUGAGUGAUAAGAUCCAUAGUCGAAAGGGAAACAGCCCAGACCACCAGCUAAGGUCCCAAAAUAUAUGUUAAGUGGAAAAGGAUGUGGGGUUGCACAGACAACUAGGAUGUUGGCUUAGAAGCAGCCACCAUUUAAAGAGUGCGUAAUAGCUCACUAGUCGAGUGACCCUGCGCCGAAAAUGUACCGGGGCUAAACAUAUUACCGAAGCUGUGGAGUACACCUUUAGGUGUAUUGGUAGGAGAGCGUUCUAAGGGCGUUGAAGGCAGAUCGUGAGGACUGCUGGAGCGCUUAGAAGUGAGAAUGCCGGUAUGAGUAGCGAAAGACAGGUGAGAAUCCUGUCCACCGAAUGACUAAGGUUUCCUGGGGAAGGCUCGUCCGCCCAGGGUUAGUCGGGACCUAAGCCGAGGCCGACAGGCGUAGGCGAUGGAUAACAGGUUGAUAUUCCUGUACCCGUUGUUUUUGUUUGAGCAAUGGAGGGACGCAGGAGGCUAAGGAAUGCAGACGAUCGGAAAUGUCUGUCCAAGCAGUAAGUCUGAAGAGGAGUCAAAUGCUUCUUUUCUUAAGGAC